CUAAUGAGAAGGUAGAUGCAGUGGAGAGGGAGGAGAGCAACACCACAGUAGUGAAUUCAUCUCCUGAUUGAACUUGGAAGUGGAUUCAUCCCCAGUCAAGCCUCCAGAUAAAAACACAGCCUAGUUGACACUUUGCAGCCAUGUGAGACCUUAGUCAAAGGAAGAAGCUAACCUCUGCCUGGACUUUUGACCCACAGAAACCAUGUGAAAAUAAAGUGUGUUGUUUUAACUCA
Aethalodelphis obliquidens (Pacific white-sided dolphin) is the source of this 233-nucleotide long non-coding RNA. RefSeq lists it as uncharacterized. The record is from RefSeq and is a predicted model, not a curated record. NCBI's taxonomy places the organism in Eukaryota, Metazoa, Chordata, Mammalia, Artiodactyla, Delphinidae. The transcript is spliced from 2 exons.